Molecule: ribosomal RNA, 1353 nt
Filed under: Triticum aestivum (bread wheat)
Lineage: Eukaryota; Viridiplantae; Streptophyta; Magnoliopsida; Poales; Poaceae
Description: partial small subunit ribosomal RNA
Source: RNAcentral
AUGGACCGGGAACAAGGUAAGGCAGCGGCGAGCCUGCCGGAUUUGGGAGCGACUGUGGCUAAUUCUGGGGACGAUUCCCGUUGGUGUGCAGUGACGGAGUUCCUGGGCCAGGUGCCGCUCCUGCAGUGCCUCCCCGGCUCCUCCAUCCGCAGGAUCGCCGAGGCCGUCCAGGUCAAGCACUACGAACCUGGUGAUUAUGUCGCCCGUGAAGGUGAACCCGUGGAUGGCCUUUGCAUCAUAUUGGAUGGGCAGGCUGAAGUUUCUGCUCCUGCAAACACAGAAGAAGCAAACCGUCCAGACUAUGUGUUAAAUAAGUAUGACUACUUUGGUUACGGGACCAAUAGUUCUGUACAUCAAGUAAAUGUUAUUGCGGUGACAAAGCUGUCCUGCUUUGUAUUGCCAAGUCAAUAUGGACAUCUGCUGCAAACCAAGACAAUUUGGAAUGCAGAAGAAACACCUGAAAGCCAUUCAUUGAUGGAACAAAUUUUACAUUUAGAGAAAUUAGAGGUUGAUAUCUUUCGUGGAUUUACUUUGCCAGAAGCUCCAACUUUUAAUCAAGUUUUUGGAGGACAAUUGAUUGGGCAGGCACUAGCAGCAGCAUCCAAGACUGUCGAUUGCCUGAAACUUGUGCAUAGUCUGCAUGCAAUUUUUCUAAUAGCAGGAGACAAUAACAUGCCAAUAAUAUAUCAAGUGCAUCGGGAGCGUGAUGGAACCAGCUUUGCCACCAGAAAAGUGGAGGCAAAGCAGAAAGGCCUUGUUAUGUUCACUUUAAUUGUUUCUUUCCAGAAGGAAGAAUUAGGGUUUGAGCAUCAGGCUGCAAUCAUGCCUGUCGUUCCUCCUCCAGAACAGCUCCUGAAUAUGGAGGAGAUACGGGAAAGAAGACUCACUGAUCCACGGUUUCCGAUGCAAUAUAGGAACUCAGCUGCCAAGAAAAAGUUUGUACCUUGGCCCAUUGAAAUGAGGUUCUGCCAAGAUUCUAAAUCUCAACAUGAACCAAGCCUGCAUUAUUGGUUUAGAGCUAGAGGAAAACUUUCGGAUGAUCCAGCUCUGCAUAGAUGCGUUGUAGCAUAUGCUUCGGAUCUACUAUAUUCAGGCGUCAGCCUAAAUCCGCACCGGAAGAGGGGUUUGAAGACAUACUCUCUCAGUCUUGAUCACUCGAUGUGGUUCCACAAGCCUGUGAAAGCUGAUGACUGGUUGUUAUAUGUGAUCGACAGCCCAUCCGCACAUGGUGGUAGGGGAUUCGUCACCGGACGUAUGUUCAACCGGCAAGGAGAGCUCAUCGUGUCGCUGACCCAAGAGGCGUUGAUUAGGAGGGCCAAGACACCCGGGCAAACCCCAAGGCCGAAGCUUUGA